This 475-nucleotide ribosomal RNA is filed under the name uncultured Planctomycetaceae bacterium. RNAcentral describes it as "bacterial SSU rRNA". It matches the Rfam family "Bacterial small subunit ribosomal RNA", at positions 579 to 1050 of the family's 1533-position model. The record is from RNAcentral. Lineage: Bacteria; Pseudomonadati; Planctomycetota; Planctomycetia; Planctomycetales; Planctomycetaceae.
CUUGGUAGGUGAGAUGUGAAAGCCCACGGCUCAACCGUGGAAUUGCGUUUCAAACCCCCAAGCUCGAGGAAGAUAGGGGUGGAUGGGAACUUAUGGUGGAGCGGUGAAAUGCGUUGAUAUCAUAGGGAACACCGGUGGCGAAAGCGCAUCACUGGAUCUUUUCCGACGCUGAGGCACGAAAGCUAGGGUAGCGAACGGGAUUAGAUACCCCGGUAGUCCUAGCCGUAAACGAUGAACACUGGGUUNAGGGGGACUUCCACAUCCUCUCGGCCGUAGCGAAAGCGUUAAGUGUUCCGCCUGGGGAGUAUGGUCGCAAGGCUGAAACUCAAAGGAAUUGACGGGGGCUCACACAAGCGGUGGAGGAUGUGGCUUAAUUCGAGGCUACGCGAAGAACCUUACCAGGCCUUGACAUCCUCGGAACUUUCUAGAGAUAGAUUGGUGCCUUCGGGAACCGAGUGACAGGUGCUGCAUGGCU